CGUUCUUUGGCCGAAUUGGUAAAGGCAUCGCCGAUCAUAGUCGAGGUUGCGGGUUCGAGUCCCGCUGGAACGG
This is a transfer RNA of Operophtera brumata (winter moth), 73 nucleotides long. It matches the Rfam family "tRNA". From Rfam's summary of the family: Transfer RNA (tRNA) molecules are approximately 80 nucleotides in length. Their secondary structure includes four short double-helical elements and three loops (D, anti-codon, and T loops). The record is from Rfam. NCBI's taxonomy places the organism in Eukaryota, Metazoa, Arthropoda, Insecta, Lepidoptera, Geometridae.